UACGGCUACAUCACUUUGAAACAUCCGUUCCCGUACGAUCAACGAAGUUAAGCAACAUAGAGGCUGGUCAGUACCUAGAUAGGUGACCGUUUGGGAAUACCAGUUACUGUAAU
Acanthosepion pharaonis is the source of this 113-nucleotide non-coding RNA. Lineage: Eukaryota; Metazoa; Mollusca; Cephalopoda; Sepiida; Sepiidae. The record is from the annotation of a GenBank genome assembly.